RNAcentral lists this ribosomal RNA (330 nucleotides) under Triticum aestivum (bread wheat). Its description in RNAcentral is "partial small subunit ribosomal RNA". Lineage: Eukaryota; Viridiplantae; Streptophyta; Magnoliopsida; Poales; Poaceae. The record is from RNAcentral.
GCUAAAGCCAUCCAUAACCACUGUUCGAAGCUCAACGCCCCAACUAAAGACAUUGACAUUGAAGAAACACUAAACUACUUUUUCAAGGUGAUGGAAAACGACCCAGGAUUUUUCUUUAAAUGCAAGACAGAUGCGGAAGGCAGGAUAGAAAACUUGUUUUGGAUGGAUGGUGUAGCACGGAAAGCAUACGCGGAGGCUUAUCAUGAUUGCGUGUCAUUUGAUGCAACUUAUCUCACGAACAUGUACAAUAUGUCGUUUGCCCCUUCAUUGGCAUCAACAAACAUGGGCAGUCAAUUAUGCUUGGGUGUGGAUUUGUCCGGCAGGAACUAG